AUAUAUAUAUAUAUAUAUAUAUUCUGUAAAUCACAUUAUUUUAAAUUUACUUAGCAAAACCACUAAACAUGUUUUUCCCUAUCAAAAUUAUUUCGACCUAUUUUAUUAUUUAACGUUUUAAUAUACUUUCAUAUUAUUUAACUAUAUUAAUAUAUUCAAUAAUUAAUAUUAUUUUAUUAAUUACAUAAUUAUUCAAUACCACAAAUAUAUAUUGUCGCCAAU
Molecule: long non-coding RNA, 222 nt
Filed under: Brassica napus (rape)
Lineage: Eukaryota; Viridiplantae; Streptophyta; Magnoliopsida; Brassicales; Brassicaceae
Description: long non-coding RNA (BNAP_LNC013821)
Source: RNAcentral